This 497-nucleotide ribosomal RNA is filed under the name uncultured bacterium. RNAcentral describes it as "partial 16S ribosomal RNA". It matches the Rfam family "Bacterial small subunit ribosomal RNA", at positions 28 to 507 of the family's 1533-position model. The record is from RNAcentral.
GAUGAACGCUGGCGGCGUGCCUAAUACAUGCAAGUCGAGCGAACGGACGAGAAGCUUGCUUCUCUGAUGUUAGCGGCGGACGGGUGAGUAACACGUGAAUAACCUACCUAUAAGACUGAGAUAAAUUCGGGAAACCGGAGCUAAUACCGGAUAAUCUUUUGAACCGCAUGGUUCAAAAGUGGAAGACGGUCUUGCUGUCACUUAAAGAUGGAUCCGGGCUACAUUAACUAGUUGGUAAGGUAACGGCUUACCAAGGAUACGAUGCAUAACCGGCCUGAUAUGGAGAUCGCCCACUCUGGAACGGAGCCGCACUCCCAACCACUAAGGGAGGCAGCAGAAGGGUAUCUUCGGCAAUGGGCGAAAGCCUGACGGAGUAACGCCGCGUUAGUGAUGAAGGUCUUCUAAUCGUAAAACUCUGUUAUUAGUGAAGAACAUAUGUGUAAGUAAUUGCACACAUCUUGACGGUACCUAAUCAGAAAGCCACGGCUAACUUCGUG